RNAcentral lists this transfer RNA (77 nucleotides) under Planctomycetota bacterium. RNAcentral's name for it is "tRNA-His". It matches the Rfam family "tRNA". Rfam says of the family: Transfer RNA (tRNA) molecules are approximately 80 nucleotides in length. Lineage: Bacteria; Pseudomonadati; Planctomycetota. The record is from RNAcentral.
GUGGCUGUAGCUCAACCGGUUAGAGCGCCAGACUGUGGCUCUGGAGGUCGGGGGUUCGAGUCCCCUCAGCCACCCCA